RNAcentral lists this ribosomal RNA (584 nucleotides) under Paracoccus denitrificans. Its description in RNAcentral is "bacterial SSU rRNA". It matches the Rfam family "Bacterial small subunit ribosomal RNA", at positions 32 to 662 of the family's 1533-position model. The record is from RNAcentral. Lineage: Bacteria; Pseudomonadati; Pseudomonadota; Alphaproteobacteria; Rhodobacterales; Paracoccaceae.
GACGCUGGCGGCAGGCCUAACACAUGCAAGUCGAGCGAACCCUUCGGGGUUAGCGGCGGACGGGUGAGUAACGCGUGGGAAUAUGCCCUUUGCUACGGAAUAGCCCUGGGAAACUGGGAGUAAUACCGUAUGUGCCCUACGGGGGAAAGANUUAUCGGCAAAGGAUUAGCCCGCGUUGGAUUAGGUAGUUGGUGGGGUAAUGGCCUACCAAGCCGACGAUCCAUAGCUGGUUUGAGAGGAUGAUCAGCCACACUGGGACUGAGACACGGCCCAGACUCCUACGGGAGGCAGCAGUGGGGAAUCUUAGACAAUGGGGGCAACCCUGAUCUAGCCAUGCCGCGUGAGUGAUGAAGGCCUUAGGGUUGUAAAGCUCUUUCAGCUGGGAAGAUAAUGACGGUACCAGCAGAAGAAGCCCCGGCUAACUCCGUGCCAGCAGCCGCGGUAAUACGGAGGGGGCUNNCGUUGUUCGGAAUUACUGGGCGUAAAGCGCACGUAGGCGGACUGGAAAGUUGGGGGUGAAAUCCCGGGGCUCAACCUCGGAACUGCCUUCAAAACUAUCAGUCUGGAGUUCGAGAGAGUGAGUG